GACGAACGCUGGCGGCGUGCUUAACACAUGCAAGUCGAACGGAAAGGCCCUGCUUUUGUGGGGUGCUCGAGUGGCGAACGGGUGAGUAACACGUGAGUAACCUGCCCUUGACUUUGGGAUAACUUCAGGAAACUGGGGCUAAUACCGGAUAGGAGCUCCUGCUGCAUGGUGGGGGUUGGAAAGUUUCGGCGGUUGGGGAUGGACUCGCGGCUUAUCAGCUUGUUGGUGGGGUAGUGGCUUACCAAGGCUUUGACGGGUAGCCGGCCUGAGAGGGUGACCGGCGACAUGGGGACUGAGAUAGGGCGCAGUCUCCUACGGGAGGCAGCAGUGGGGAAUAUUGCACAAUGGGCGGAAGCCUGAUGCAGAAACGCCGCGUGCGGGAUGACGGCCUUCGGGUUGUAAACCGCUUUCGCCUGUGACGAAGCGUGAGUGACGGUAAUGGGUAAAGAAGCACCGGCUAACUACGUG
RNAcentral lists this ribosomal RNA (468 nucleotides) under uncultured bacterium. Its description in RNAcentral is "partial 16S ribosomal RNA". It matches the Rfam family "Bacterial small subunit ribosomal RNA", at positions 28 to 507 of the family's 1533-position model. The record is from RNAcentral.